AACAUUCAACGCUGUCGGUGAGUUUGAAAUUCAGAGUAAACCAUCGACCGUUGACUGUACC
Molecule: microRNA precursor, 61 nt
Filed under: Gekko japonicus
Lineage: Eukaryota; Metazoa; Chordata; Lepidosauria; Squamata; Gekkonidae
Description: Gja-Mir-181-P1b_pre stem-loop
Rfam family: mir-181 microRNA precursor family
About the family: In this case the mature sequence comes from the 5' arm of the precursor. The extents of the hairpin precursors are not generally known and are estimated based on hairpin prediction.
Source: RNAcentral